This 253-nucleotide ribosomal RNA is filed under the name uncultured bacterium. Its description in RNAcentral is "partial 16S ribosomal RNA". It matches the Rfam family "Bacterial small subunit ribosomal RNA", at positions 524 to 776 of the family's 1533-position model. The record is from RNAcentral.
GACGUAGGGGGCCAGCGUUGUUCGGAAUUACUGGGUGUAAAGGGUUCGUAGGCGGUGUGGCAAGUCGGGAGUGAAAUCUCUGGGCUCAACUCAGAGACUGCUUCCGAAACUGCUGUGCUGGAGUGUGGGAGAGGCGCGUGGAAUUGCAGGUGUAGCGGUGAAAUGCGUAGAUAUCUGCAGGAACACCCGUGGCGAAAGCGGCGCGCUGGACCACUACUGACGCUGAGGCGCGAAAGCGUGGGGAGCAAACGGG